Molecule: transfer RNA, 90 nt
Filed under: Curtobacterium sp. MCBD17_040
Lineage: Bacteria; Bacillati; Actinomycetota; Actinomycetes; Micrococcales; Microbacteriaceae
Description: tRNA-Ser
Rfam family: tRNA
About the family: Transfer RNA (tRNA) molecules are approximately 80 nucleotides in length. Their secondary structure includes four short double-helical elements and three loops (D, anti-codon, and T loops). Further hydrogen bonds mediate the characteristic L-shaped molecular structure. tRNAs have two regions of fundamental functional importance: the anti-codon, which is responsible for specific mRNA codon recognition, and the 3' end, to which the tRNAs corresponding amino acid is attached (by aminoacyl-tRNA synthetases). tRNAs cope with the degeneracy of the genetic code in two manners: having more than one tRNA (with a specific anti-codon) for a particular amino acid; and 'wobble' base-pairing, i.e. permitting non-standard base-pairing at the 3rd anti-codon position.
Source: RNAcentral
GGGUGGUUGGCAGAGCGGCCGAAUGCGACGGUCUUGAAAACCGCAUCCCGUGCGAACGGGACGGGGGUUCAAAUCCCUCACCACCCGCCA